UGCCUGUGUGUGCCCAAGGUGGGGGAUAUUGAUGGUCUGCUCGGGGUGUGGAUGUGCUGUCCCCAUCCCCUUGGUAGAGCUACAGAGACUGGGGGCAGCUCCAUGGGGGCCUUGGAGAUCCCAGGGCAAGCAGGACCACCCCAGUCUGGUCAAUGGGGUCUUAAAUCAGCUCAUCCACCACACCUGGAGCAGGAAAUUACUCUGCUCCAGCCACCUGGAGCAGAAGCAAGGAGCUGGCAAGGAAACAUGGGCAAUGUACGUAAAGGUAGGCACGAAGUAGCAGGCCAGGAACACAAGCCAACAGCUAAAAGAGCAAGCCAAGGGGAAGUCGAUAAAAUCAACUUAAAAUACAUAUGAAUGAAAAAAAAAUUAAUAAGCCAAAGCUGUAUUUAAUGUCAAUAUUGUUGUAGUAGUCUGAGAAAUCAUGAAUAAAUAAAACCAGAUGGUGGAUUGAUCAGACAACACCAAGAAAGGCACUUGUGAAGAGUAUUUUCUUCUCAAGGCACACAGACUGAUACGCGUGUUUCUCAUUUGCUUUAAUGGGAAUCAUGUUUGCAAACUCGUGUGCAUUGAGAAACAGGUAAAAUUCAGUGAUUAGGGCUUGUUUUGACACAAUUAUUUCCUUAUUCUCCCAGAAAGUAUUAACUUCUGUUUCAAAAGUCUUCCCCCUUCAUAUUACAUGAUGUAUCACAGCCACCUGCCAAAUCCACCAAAUUAUUCAAAAAUACGCUGACAGAACAAGGACCAGCGUUUUAAAAUGUGGUUAAUUUGUGGUGUUAUCGAAGAGUAACCCCCCUCCAGAUUUUCCCAGCCAGCCCUACAAGCAGAGCAUCCUUGAGCCUCCUCUGAGCACCCGCCGCCCCUGGCAGGGAGCCGUGCAGCCAGGGCCGAGGGGUGCUGAGUGCUCUUGGAGACACUGCUUUGGAGCUGCUCAGCUCCUCGCCCAGCUUCGCAUCUAUCGAGUUUUCUGGGCAGAGAGUGCAUCGUAAUAUCCCAUUUAUAAAGUUGGGAAGAGAGGAAGCGGCAUGAAGAUGAGCUACGUAUUCCUGGCACAGAGGGCUCGCUAUUAGGCCCAAUUCCAGAAGAUCGUUUCAGCGUGCGCUUUCUGAAACAUCUUAUUUUUAUUAGGCUCUUUCAUUAGGUAGGUCCUUAGCUAUGCUGCAGUUGCAGAGAGCAAGCAAUUUGUCUGUCUGUCUCUCACUAGUUCUCAUUGCCAAGCUAUGCAGCCUCCAGAGACUGAAAUAACAUCCUUAACAUCCCCUUGAAAGUGCAUUAUUUGCCUUAAAAACUAACUUCUAUUAUUAAAAUCAAAGUGAGAGCAGUAUGGAAGUGGCCAGGUAUACAAUUGUCAGAGCAUGUUCAAUUACGUGCCGUUUUUAGCCCAACUUUAGCGCUCCUCAUCAGCAGCAAAACCAACAGCUUUGAGUUUCUUCCCCGAGACCUGAGGGGAUGUGGCAGUUGUGGCAAAGCACGGCUGGGUGGAAAAUCCCACCAGUGCAUGGGAAGGGUAAUGGGGUGAGAGCAGGGGGGUGGCCCUCUUGCAUGGGGUCACCCAGUUUGUGGUCACUGCGGGCCCCCCAGCAGCACUGGUACCAGCUGGGGGGACUGGUGCACAGGAGCAGGGCCACCUCGAGAGCACAAAGCCUGUUUGUGCCUUGCAAGCCGAGUUUUUCUCUGCCAUAAGAAAUUUGUGCUCAGAAAACCUCCUCUGUAGCCUUCAUGGUGUGUUGCUUCAUGCUUUGCUCCCUUCCUGAGCUCCUUUCCAACCUGCUUGUGUAGAUCACAGCCCAGGUGUUCUUCUGUUUGCGUGGCACCUACGAGGGUGAGAUCCAAUUUUUGGCUUGUGCUCUUCAUGUGUGUGACAGUUCUGGUUCAUCUGCCCCGGGAGAUUUGUUUUUCCCCUGGAAAUGAUGAGGUUGCUGUGGAAUGGCAUGAGGCGCUAUCAGAAGGAAUAGGCAAGAGGAACAUUAACAGUGCAGAAAACACAGGAGACAUAUCAACAGGUAUUUCUGAGAGGCGUUUGGGGAGAUGUGCUCAGCACUUGCUAAGGGAAACAACUUGCAGAGCCAUCGGCCCGAUUGCUAGCGCACUUUAUUGCAGUUUAUGAAAUCGGAUACAAUCCAGAUGUGCACGCAUGCCCAUGGUAGCUGUGUGGCUGGGCAGCUCGCUCUGUGCACACCUUGUCCUGGGUGACUUAAGGGACUGCCUGUGCCCUUCAUGAUGAGACCAAAACUCCCAAAAAGCAGGGCAGCCCGUGUCAGUCUGAACCCAGCUGCGGCUCCGUGUCGGCUACCCAAGCAGCAGGUCUCCAGCAGAGCAGGGACAGGAGACCCGUGUGUUAAACCAACCAGCACGGGGAUUCAGUCUUCCCAUUAAAAAGAAGAUUUUGCGACAAGAUGUAGGCACACAACAUGGACAGGAGAGGCGGAAAGGGGCGAUUUGGCUGAGGUUUAGGAAAUCCUGAAGGCAGCAGGGUGUGCGAAGGCCAUUGCCUGUCCCCGGGGCAGGGGACACUGCUGUCCCCACUGCCCCCUGCCACUCUCACAGCCCCGCUCCCCAUCCCUCCUGCGCUGCCACGAGCCCCUGCAACAGCAGCUGCCCGGAGAAUACCUCGCCGCUCCGGCAUAAGACGCAUGGAUCAAUUAACUCAGUUGCUGGGUUUCGCUUUUGAAUCAAUUAACUGGAACUGAAAUUAACUAAAAAUAUCCUUUGCUUAUUAACAGACCGAACUAAUUGCAAUAAAAGGUGGAAAAAAAAAAGAAGAGACAAACACAGAGAUGCUAUUUGUCACAGCGAAUCUCUGCCCUCAUCUUUAUUGCAAAUAUUUCUCAUUUGCUCAGCGGACUAAUGACUCCACAACCUCUGCUUCGGCGGUGUCACCCCGCCACGUGUUCCCACCACCCCCAGUGCCACCCAGCUCAUUGGGGCCGGGACGGGGCCACUCGUGUUGUCCCCACCAGCCUUCCUGCCCUGGCUGCUCCGCGGGGCCUGGCAGCGUGCAGCCCUUUUGUCUCGCCUUCCUUCCCUUUGUUUCUGGCUCCCGUUCUUUGUUUGCCUGCUUGUUUCCAUUUUUUUUCUUCUUUUUUUUUUCUUUUUUUUCUGUUUGCAUCCAUCAUUCCCUUGCUCACCUCUCCCUUUGCCCCCACCCCAUCCCGAGGAUUUCCCUCUGCCCCCCCAACCCUUUCUCCCUUCCCGUUUCCACCAUCCUCUUCCCCUUCCCUCCAUCACCGCCCUGUCCUGCUCCUUCCCUCUCUCUUCUCGCCUGCAAUUAGCGCUAAUCAGAUACCUGAGCAGAUCCACAAAGCUAUUAGUGGCUUCCCCCUCAUCCCCGGGGGAGACGAGCAGAGCUGGACAAUUAGGCUUUUCCAUGCAGCCCCCACUCUGAUAAACACAAUAAACAAGGCGGAGAUGUGGGGACCAUGCUGGGCACGGCCGGCGAGCAUCCUUGGCUCUACACAUCAUCCCCUGGUGGCACCCAGUGCACGGGGUGCUCCUGGCCCCUCUGCCUGCCCCAUCUCCUGCCCUCAUGCCAGAGAACCCCAUUUUUUGGCUCCUCGGGGGUGCUUUUGGCCGGGACGCAGCCCUUCCUGCGGGGCCGAUGCGCGGCGUUUGUUGCAGAGAAUUUCCCCGCUCGCUCGGUAGCACGGCGCACCCCUCCUGCUGCUGGAUCUAUGAGCUGUGUGUGUGUUUUGUAAUUAAGCAGUUAAUUGCACUGGAGUUCUUGAUUAGCUUUGGGGGAUGGUAAUGUUCUAGCAGGAUGAGAUGUUGUGUACAGUUCAGAAUCAUUUACAGAAAUUGGAGCUAAUUUUGCUGUCUGUGCUUAUUACUGCAUUAAUUUAAUUUGGGUUGCUUUUAGCUCAUUAACACAUCUAAUUAAUUCGUUGACAUCACUAUUAAGAUGUCUCUUUGAAAUUGGCGUCUCCAGAUAAUCAGGAUGGAAGAGGCUGACAGAUCAGGCGCGAAGCUGACUGGGAAAAUGGGGAAGGAAAAAAAAAAAAAAAGGACGACUAAUGAAUUUUCCAUCAGAAUCGCACGGUUUGGCAGAGUUGGUAUCAGAGAGGCAGAGACAGAGCUAGCGAGACAGAGAAAGGGCGUGAGAGAGACAGCAGUGGUAAAGGGAGACACGUCCUCUCCAAAAUAUUAUAUUUGUUAGGAGGGCAAGCAAGACGCGUGAGAGGACAAUAAUUAUUCUUUAGCGAAUCGGCAUCCAGGCUGCAUAUUUCUUAGCUAAUUUUCCUCUCUCCCUGGUUUUCCAUCGUGGCCUUUUGGCUGCUUUUAUUUUCUCAGCUCUGCAAACAGUUUGCAGUGCUGGCGCCGGGGGCUUCGGUGUCCCCGUGCUGCCCCCCCUGCAGCUGUGGGGUGGCUGUGGAGGGGACGCCGGCCGUGCCCUGUGCUGCAGCGAGCGUGGGGUUUGGGGGGGGACAGAGCAGUGCAAGCCAUUUAUUGUUGUCGUUUAAUGAGUUAGCACAUACCGGCAGAGCCGUGCUAUCUGGCUGUUUGCUGGCCCUGCUGAAAUAAAAGAGCUCGGCUUAAACCUGCCUGGUGGAGGAGAAAUGUCGUACGGGGUUAGAGGAGCUCUGGCGUGCUGCUCCGGCUGGACAGCCCCAGUGAGGACACGCACGGUAACGCCAUGCCCUGGCCCAGGAGCUGCAGGUCCUGCCUGUGGGACCCACACUGUGCAGAACCACGUCCCCGGGAGCUGAGUGUCCCUUCUGCAGCUCCAAGAGCAUCUUCCCCAAAUCACAGAGGUCCCAGGCAGGAGGGGAGCAGGGAGCAGACACAGGUACGGUUUGUGUUUUAUUACGGCAUAAUCCCAUAGAUAAUCCCCAUCCAACCUCUUCAUACAUGUAUCCCACUUUCCCUAUGACAACAGGUACAGAAACAGGAGAAACUGCCCCCAGAACUAUUUCACACGUUUCUUUACUGGGUUUGGACUGCUUCUAGUAGGUGGUGGUGGAUGGAGGCGAAGCGGAGCCGAGACCUUCCUGUUGUAGGGCGACAUCAAGCUGUGAUGGGUGUGGGGAGGCUGUGUGCUGCGGCCAGGGUUGUCCAUCUUGGAAACUCAUGUCCUAUGUAGUUAUCUGCCUGGUUCUCUAAGGUACCAAAGCAGACCAAAAUGUGAAAGAGGGAGGCUGGUUUUAAGAGCUUAUUUUCUGGCAAUCUUGAUUUUCCCCACCACCAUCACGUUGAAAUGCCCUGAACCACGGAAUGCCUCUGUAGGUCUGUUCUACCUGGGGAGGAAAAAAAGCAGAAAUAUCCCAACAUCCUCAGUCUAACAAGUGAACCCAAGCAACCUUUUGUCCCCUGCACGGCAAGCCUGUCCCCACGAGGAGCACAGGGUGAUUUACGGCAACGCCAAGCUGCAGUUCCCACCUGGGGAAGGGAAGUUUGCUCCAGUUUCCAUUCAAUCUCACUCAAGGAGAGAAUAUUAGAAACUCCACUCUUUAGUACUUCAUUAAACACUUUAGUUUAAUAGCAUCCUCCAGGGAAUCCCAAUCUGGACCACGUGAGCCAGGAGUAAACAGCUGCAUCAAUUAACCCCAUAAUCUCGAGGGUGCUAUUAGAAGGUGAGAUACCCUUAGAAAGUGCAUAUGCCUGCAAUUAGGCUUAAAAUACUUAUGUGUCAAUAGCUUUAGUUAUUUGUGCUCUCUGCUAUUGAUCUUGCUUAUGUUUUCCACUUUAAACGGUCUUUCUUACUUCAUCAAUAAAUUAAGUGCUGUUUAGAUUUAUUCACUUUUUCUAUUACACGGUGCAAGCUCCUGAGCUCCUGACCCAGCUCCAUCCAAGGCUGAGAGCUCCAACCCUCUUUGCUGGCAGCUCCAUCUCACUCUUGUUGUGUGGAGAAAGCAGAUGAUGAGGACCUGCUGGCCUGGACUGACCAUCAGCAUGGCUCAGAUGGGGCAGUGGUGACGUUUGGGAUGGGUUUGCUGGAUAUAUGCCACUUUCCAUGUUUGUUUUCGCUGCCUUGGUCAGAUUUCCAGGAGAUCUUUGAAGGACCAGCUGUCCACACUGUGAACAUUGCAGAAAGGACUGGGUUUCUGCCACACGGAGAACCUGGGGAAGGGCAGGAUCUAUGAGACCACGCAGAAGAUGGGGCUUUUCUUUCCAUGAAAGGGCUUGGUGAGAACUUUGCAUCCUCUGAAAUGGGCAGGGAGCGAUGCCACCAGCAGUCACCUGCACUGGGAACCAGUGGGGUUGGAUGAAGGGCUGCUCCUCUUCUUUUCCUACUUUUUCUUUUUUUUUUUUUCCACCAGCCUUUCUGUAAGGAAGCCGUGCAAUUAUUUUAUUGGAGAAUAGUUCUAGAGGUAAAGGUUUGCUUUGUUCUGUUUUGUUUUCUACUGGUCAUCCUGGCUUUUCUGUGCUUUGUUUAACAGAAGUUGUGGUGUUGCAGGAGGAGCGAGGGUGGAAAUAAAGACAAGACUGGGUAUUUAAAGAACAGCUUUUUAGAUAGUUUGCAUUGUUCAGUUUGCUGCUUGCCUGUUCUCAGCUUCUUUAGGGCCUACCCGGUGUGGAAUAGUGGAUGCAGUUUUUUAUUUUUAACCAGGACCAAAUGGAGCCUGGCAGGCCCUUGUUGUUACAAUUAAGCCAUGUGCUACUUUCCAUAACUCAUUAGCCCUUUAGUUUCUGGAUUAAUUCAAUGUGCAAAUAAUGUCACAAAUUGAAUAUUACUGGACUUCUAUUGAGGAUUAAGCGGCAGUAAAAGCAUAUUGCUGUGUCUUCAUCCUGCUUUGCACGACUGUGGUUUGUCCAGCAUAGCAAGCGCAUAGUUGGCUACCUGAGAGCUGUGUGGCCUUCUCUCCUGGACUGUUUUUUUUAUUAUUUGUUUGGUUUUUUGUUUGUGUGUGUAAUAAGCCAGAAGAGAAAAUUAGAAGAGAAAAGCACCAACUGUGCAUGUAAAAGUGGGGAUGCACAAAAUGAGCCUCCUCUAUCACUUCUAGUUCUUUGCAGGUAGAAAAUGGGUGUGGGAUUGCUUAAAUCAGCAUGGGCUCCUCUACUGCUGCUGCAGAGAUUACGCAGAAAACCAAAUUUUGGUAGGGUGCAAAGUCCCAUGCCAGCCCAAGAUCCUCAUGGGGUGCCAGUGCCUGACCCCAAAGCUCUAGGGGUGAUUUUGGGACCCAUGGGUGGUCACUGCAAUGCCAGCGUGAGCCCGAAGCUCUGAACUUCAGGCAUGUCGGUGGUGCCGACGCAGGGAGGAUGGCUCCACUGCCACGAGAACUUCCUGGGCACUGCUGAACAAAAUGGGUGCAGCUUUCUUUUAAUGCACUGAAGUGGAGGCAAAUUUCAAUCUAAUAAUGUAAAGCAGCAAUAACCAUUAUAAUUAAUUUAUAUAAAAGACAUUAUAAAAUUACACUUGAUGCAUUUAAAUCCCAUCCAGGAGCAGUGCUCGUUUUCCAGUUAAGCUAUGGGCUGUGCUAAGGCAGACGGGGAAAGAGGUAUUUCAAUAUUUCUUAUAAUUUUAUAUUCUUUCUAAUAUCUCUCAUGCUAAUUUCAUUAUGCAACACAGUCAGCACAGUGAUGUAAUUAUUGAAAAGUAAUUUUGCAAUAAAUGGAUUUAAAUGUGUUCGAGUCCAUUGUAAAUUCAAUCUCUUGGUAAAGGUGGAUUGAACAGGCAAGGAAAAAGGGAGCUGGGACGUUGCUGGGUGAAAGCUGAGAAGUCCCAGGCAUCCCAUGCCGAGCAUCCUCUUACACCAAGUAAUAACAUCCACUUUGGAUGGAAACUGCUCCCAGAGCUGACUUCCCUUCCCUUGGGCACCCACAGCAGAGGGCACGUCCAGCGUUCAAGGUGGGGGCAAUUUAGGAAGUCUCCUCCCGGAGCAGGGCAUCGCUGCCACUGGGUGUCUGCACCGCUCUUGCAAAGCGGUCCCGUGUAGGUGUCUUAGGCUGGAUUAAGGGCUCAGCUACUGGGCAGGGACAUGAAGAUAUUCUUCUGCAUAAGACACGGGAGAUGUGAUUUCUAUUCCUGGCUCUGUCAGAGACUUCCUGCGUGAGACUGGGCAAGCGGUAUAUCAUCUCUGUGCUUCCAUUUCCUCAUCCGCACAAUAGGGAUAAAGAGUGCUUCCCCAGCUCAUCGGUGAAAUUAAUGUAACAUAUGUAAAGUGCAUGUAUAUCCCCAGAUGAAAGGUGCCAUUGUAAUAAUAUUCAAAUUAUUAUGGAAAAUAGAUAAAGCGACCAACCCCUGCUAAAUGAUCGUCUAGCUUUUCACCAGAUUCAUGAGAUCCACGUAGAAUGCGAUAAGAAAACCUCAGAUGUCAAGUGGUUUAGAGUCAGACUCUUCUCAUGAAACAGAGCUGGCUGUGUCUUUUAAGUGGAGGAUGAGAUAGGGAAGAAUUUGGGACUUGGGAAGUUGUCACCCUGGUUAAGCUGGCCGGGAUUUUUUGGAUGCUGCCAUGCACCUAGAGGGGAAGCUGUUGGGGCUACAUUUCCUCACGGCCAAAUCUGGACCCAGGAACUAUUUUCUGAUGCUGAAAUCAAAGCGGUAGCAGGGCUGCUUGGUUGGUUUUCGUUUUUUGGUGGUGGUGGUGGUGUUUUUGUUUUUUUUUGGGUCCUAACAGAUGCAGACAUUUGGGAUAUCCCAGAAAGGUCCCAUGUGGCAAAGGAGGUGGCAAACGGGAGGCUGGAUGAACUGUCUCAGUAGGAACAUUUCACCCACUAUGCUCAUAUUGGACCUUCACCCAAGCAUCGCUGCAAGGUGCGUUUGGACAAGACAAAGACCUCUGUUGGAUAAGGAGCAUCCAUGUUCCUUGCAAUAGGGUUGUAUGUGAGCAGGGAUGGUAGCAGGCAGAGAUUCAGCGUUGACAGGGGUUGUUCUGAAUGUAACAGGAUCCCGUGGCAGAUGUAAACCAGACUGAAGGCACUCGCCGUGUGUUUCGCCGAGGAGGUCAGCCUAUGAAUUUCCCUGUGAAAACAUCGAGGCGAGGCUGCCAGCAUUACCCGUUGCAGAGCUGGGUGCUGUUUGUGGUGACAAGUGAUGCCACUUCAGUUUGGGAACGGAGCGUGGGCAGCUGCUGAAAUGUUUUGGUGCAGAGCUUUUUUGGCUGAGCUUCUCAUGAGGAGUAUGAAAUGGUGGAGUGUGAAAUCAGGCUGAGCUCCAGGCUGUCCCUGACUGUCCCCCCUCCAUCAGUGAACUGCGCUGAUGGCAUCUGAGGGACCAGAGUGGCCUCACCUCCUGCCAGAUGAUGGGUGGGACAGGGCUUGCAGAGUCCCUAAGACACAUUUGUGUUUUUUUAAUGUGGGUAGGGGCAGACCGCGGUCACCAGGAGCCAAGGGAGCGACAGGCAGCCCCUGUGCAAUGGGAUAAUGGGUGCGUGGGGACAGAGGCUGAAAGCAAAACCAGCACAGGGAGCCUCGAGCAGGGCACGGCCGAGGUGGGUGCCAGCUUGGGGCUGUGUGUACUGCGGAGAGCAAGGUAACGGGAGAGUUUGUUGAUAGCUGUUUUUUCUGUUUUAUUUUUGCUCUUAGUGCUUUGAGCAGAAAGGUGCUGUAUCUGCCUGCAUGCCUCUGUUCCUGCAGCCAGGGAUCCCAUUUAUUUGUGGGUCAGAGCAGUGCACCAGGAGCUGCUGCCGAGCUCCUCAGCCCGUUAAUGUAUUUCGCUGGGACAAGCCCAGGAAGGGAAGAGGUCCGGGUUAUGCUAGUUUCCAUCCCAUUCUUGUGUCACACCCAAUUUUCCCCAGCAAUAACUUAAAGUUUUCUUUCCAGAGCCUCGAGGAGAGCACCAGCCCUGCCAGCCAGCUGUGCCUUUGGCUCUCGGAGGAUUGCUGCCCAGCUCUGCUCUGCCCACCUGGCAGCAAGCAGCGGGUGCUGCUUUGGGAUACCCCACCGCUGCUGCAGCCCCCUGGGCUCUCUCCUCAGGCAGAAAUGUUGCUGCAGCCUCAGGGAUCGCUGCUGGCUGCCUGGCUGCUGUAAGGCCCAGCACGGACACAGCGUGGCACUCUUUUCCAGAGCACGGCGCCCAGCGCCCAUGGGAGCCCAUGGGCGUCCCCGUCCCCACCAGCAGCCGCAGCCGCAGCCACCCCGGGGCUCACCCAGCCCCGCUCACCCCCUGCACACCCCACUCAAGCCCCCCCAGCUGAUUUAUCUCCUCCAAAGCUGGUGCCUUGCUGAGUAUUUUAGCUCCGGCCGGCAGCCACCAGAGCAGUGCCAGGGGUUUGCCUCGGGGAAGUGCUCGGAGGAUGCUCGGAGUGAGUAUCAGGAUGUGUGCAUCGAUAAACCACGAGUGUUUUGGAGACAGAGCUGCCAGAAAACAGUUUCCAGAGGGGUAAAAUCUUCAUUUCUAAUCCUGGGAGAACUGUGAGGAUGUGUCUUGGAGGUGGUGUCGGUUUGCCUUGUUUUGGGGGGAUAUAACCUGCUCUUUCAGAGGGGAUGUGGCCCUAAUCCGGAUGAGGACCCCCAAGUGACAGCUGAAGGACCAGGAGGUGGGACUGCACCCGGGGGCAGGAUCCAUGCAGCCACCCCCUCCAGGAAACACCACCUGGGGAAAGCCUGCCUCGUGCCCAGGGAGAAGAGAUUUCUUAGCCUAGAAAACCCUGAGGAGCUGGGCUGGGCUUGGCCCCAGGUGGCUGGUGACGUUGGACAAGUCUCGUGGUGCUUUCAGGUGGGUCCUACAACACUCACAGCCCCCCAGGAGUGAUGCCAUGGGUGCAAGCAGCCUGCUCACAACCCCACUGGGACCCCCCCAAAAAGCAGACAUCAGCAGGGCUCCGGAGCACGAGGGAUGCAGCUCCCAUUUAAAUAAUUGUUGCCAGGGUUUCGGCGGUGACUCAUAGUCUCCGAGACAGGAUCCCUUGUUAGCAGGGAUCUGGGGAACACCCUCCCCGUGUUGCCAAGGCACCUCGACCAGAGGGACCUGCACCUCCUUCUGCUCCUUCAUUUGUUUUCCAAAACACUCGCCCCAGUGCAGUCGGGGUGCACGUGUGUAAGGGAGAGCUGUGUGCACCCCAAAAGAGCUCUGCUCUGCAGCAGCAGUGGGGCUCCCACGUCUGUGGUUUGUUUUAAGAGAUAGGAGAGGCUGAGAAAGAUCUGCACUCAGAUAUUUUGCUGGGCCAAAAUUCUUGGGGAUCAGUCUGGUUUCUUUGCCAGCAGGGUGUCACCAACAUCCCGAAGUCCCAGCACAGCAAACUGUCCUUGGCCAGGUGGGCACCUUGAGGAAGGACAAACUUGGGAUGCUGAGACAGGAGGGGAGCAAACUCACUCAAAGCUAUUUUAGCUUUCAAAUUCCCUCCAGGCUUAAAGCAUGCUUUAAUCUUCGGGAUUUUCUUCUGUUUUCUUUCCAACAUCUGGUUUGGAAAGCUCUUUUUCCAGUGGAAUAGGAACAGAGCUGUGCUUUCCCCUACACCUUGGCAUUGGCUGCCUGCCAUCAGUGGUGGCAGCUCUCCCCAGCCCGAGUCCCACAUCCCAGGGAGGGUCUGCCAAAGAGGAGGUUUGCCUUUCUGCUGAGAUACCACAGGUUUUCCUGCCUUUGGGUUGGCACUGCUUGUCCACGCUGAGCAGGGAGGGAUCUGCUCCAUUACCCGCCUUGAGCUGCCUCCCUGUGCCCCGCCAGCCCCAGUGACGUUGGGGAUGGACUUGCUCAACUCAGUUCAUCCUCAGCCUCCAGACAGCACGGGGAGGCCCAGAAGGCAGAGAGAAAAUCUCCACUCCAUACAACAGCACGUCCCUCCUUGUGCUGCUGGGUUUUGCUGUCCCUAACAAAGUCCCUCCCUCCCGCAGCAGACAAAGCCCAGGGAAGAAAUAGUGGGACUUAUUUUCUGGGGCCAGAGUCCUAGCGGGACCUCAUUUUAAAUCACCUAAAUUUGAGGAAUAUGUAUUUUAAAUAUGAUGCUAUAAAAACGUUGUAAAUAUUUAAUUUUAUUUUUAUUAAAUACUAAAUUGAUGAUGGCUGACACUUUAUUAAAGUGUCAAAGUGAGUGUUCCUACAUUCUAAUUACUUAUUCUAACAAGGAGGCAGCCUCGUCAGGAGCUGCGCGCGCUGGCAUGCGCAGGCGAGGGGCGCUCCCGUUAAGUAACACCUAUUAAACUAUCAUUUGCACCUAGAGGCAUCUCAUUAAUAUCUCAACUGGUGAGACUGCGCUGCCAGUGCCUACCUGACCCGGGGCAUUGACAGGAGAAAUGGCUCCAGGAGGCCUUUCCUCACUCCAGGCUCUCCUGUACAAAUAAUUCCUAUAAAAUUAAUAACGACUAUUCCACUUAAUUGAAUUCCUGAUAAAUGAAGAUUCUCCCAAGCCCCGUUAUAUGCAUCCAGGAGAUGCAGGAGGGCUGCUGCACUACAGUCUGGGGAAAGUUUUGUCCUUCUCUCUCCUCCCUGCUUUCUUUGUCUCUCCAUGCCUCUUCCCACCCUCUCCAGCUGCUCCCUCCCUGUCGUCCUUCUCCUUCUCCUCCCAUACCUGUCUGCUCUUUUCUGCAGCACUUUCCCUUCUGUCUCUUCCACGUGAAUCCCUCCUACUUCUCUGCCUCUGCCUGGAUCUAUCUUUACAGUAUCUCCAUCGUUUAUCUUCCUUCUCUAAACUCCUUCAUUUCUCUCUUCCCCCUCCAUCUUUCUCGCCCUUCCUUCCACCUUCCAUUUUGGUUUUCAUCUCACCAUCUGCACCAUUUUUCUCAGGUUUCCUUUCAAGCCCUGAUCCUGUCAUUAUAGAGGAAUCUUCUCCCUGCUGUGAGACCUCUGUUGGAUGGGGACGAGGCAGUGCAUCUCCAGAUCUGUCCGGUCACCGAGGAGAUACAUCCUCCCUCAAAGAGGAGAUGGCCAUCACCAAAACAUCUCAUGGAACAUGCAGGCCUCCUUUCAUCCCAUCUUCCCCCAUGGACAGAGAGACAACUGUGUAAGUAGAGGUACCUGUCCUCAAGACGUGGUCAAUACAGUCACCACUUGGCUGCCAAAUCAUUACAAGAGAGGUAAUGGGGUUCUGCAAGGGACAUUUUGCAGUCUGAGGGGGUUUUUGUUGCCGUUGUUGAACUGCAGGGCUGUCUUUAAUCUCAUUUCCUCUGCUCCUGGCAGUAAGGGCGCUGUCUUUUUGCUGUUAUCCUCCACAGGUGCACUACUGGGGUUUGGCUGUUGGGGAUUGCUUUUUGUCAUUCCUGUAAUAAAUGCAAAAAUACUCACUAAAAAAUUCCAUUCUAUUUUUAUUUCAUUCCAAUUAGGAAAACAAACUAGAAACUACACUUAGUAUUAAAAACACCAACUCAGGAUUCAAAGCAAGCAACUUAAAAAUAAAUAAAUACAUAAUGGAAAAAAAUAUCAUUAAAUAACACAUGAAUAACAAGUAAUGGGAUUUUAAUCUUCUUGCUAGGAGAGGCUACUUCUUCAGCACUAAAGGUGACUCACAAGCAGCAUCACUCCAGGAAAGUUAAAAAUGAUAAUUCAGUAAGACUCAAGGAUUAUGUGGGACUCGAGGAGGGCUAAACCAGCCUUUUGCAGGGGGCUGUCUCCUAGUGAUGAAUGAAGCUGGAAAACCUGGUCAGUUCAGAGCUGAUGAAAAAUAAAACACCAUCACCUCUUUGUGAGCACCCAGGUAGGCUGGAAGUCACUGCCCCACGGUGCCAUGAAGUCUGAGAGCUGAACAGGGUUCAAGAGGUCCAGCAUUUGUGUGGAUAGCUACAUCCCAAAUUGUAGGAAUCAAUAUUAAAAUAGAAAGAACAAACAAAAUAACACCACCCUCUGAAGAUGUCUGGAGAGUAUCUCUGGGUGCCUGUACCAGCACUUGCCUAACCCUCUGUUGUCAAAAUUAGGAAGAAACUUCCUGCAGUGCCAAGGUACUCCCAAAAUGUGGUUUCUUGCAGCAGCUUCUGGGGCAUCCAGUGGUAGAGCUGAGACCUCUGGGGCACCUGGAAAUGGGGCUGUAGUGUCCAGUUUGCACUUGAGCGGUGCAUUUCUGUUCGUGCAUACAUCUGUGGGGGCUUCCAGAACAAAGUGAGAGAGGUGGAGGUGGAAGAAGAACAGAGUAAGGCAGAGGAGAAGACUGGUCUUGCAGUGUCAGUGGAAAAGCCAGUGGGGAGGAUGGGACAGACCUGAAAGGAAGAAGAAAUAGGUGGAAGAGGAGGAAGGAUUUCUCUAAGGAGUGGUAGGAUUUUAAAGGCCAGUGCUAGAUGAAUUUCAUCACUGAAAUCCAACAGCAGUUACUCGGGGAAAUACUUUUGAAUAUCUUGAACAAAGUUGGUGCUUGAUGUGGGGAUGGUGGGUGAGCUACGAAACCAGAAAUAGGCAAAUAUGAACUUUGAGGGAGAGGUGCAGGGAAAGAGCUGGGAAAAAAAUGUGUAAGCAAAAGAGAGCACUUAGGGGUACUGGUCUACACAAACAGUGUGUGCAGGGUGUUUUUCACAUUUUUCUCUGAAAGAGGUGACAACAAAAAGCUGUGGAAACUCAAAGAGGACGUACCUGCCGGUGGGUUUCCUUCAAGUGCAGAAAGGGACAAGUGGCAGGAGCAGGCACUGCUGGUCCACAGGCACCACGCUGCCCUCCCCAUCCCAUGGCUAGUCAUUGACAGGCAUAUAAUUUAAUGUAGAAUUUGGCCUUUCUUACAUAAGUCAUUACUUAUUCGAUUUUUGUUUUGAUUUUAAUUCAUCCGUUUGUGUGCAUUUUAGGUGCUUCAUCUGCCUGUGGUGCCUGGUGUCCCAGGUCAGAGGGAGGAGAGCACUGUUCCCCUGCUGCAGGGAAUGGGCAAGUUGUGGGUGCAUGAGUUUUGUAUGGAGAGAGGGCCAUGAAAUGGUGUUGAAUAUGGGAACACCUUGUAAUAUUUCUACAACUGCUUUGCCUGCCUUGGUUCACCCUCCCUUUCCCUCCACCAUGCCUCUUCCAAUCUCUGCUUGCAGAAUCUGGCUCUUUAUAUUUAAAGACUUUUUGGGAGCCCAUCCUGCCCACCCCUGGUGCAGGGUUACAGCUGGCCAAGAGGCUAAGAGGGGCUUCAGCGUGUCCCUUGGCUGGGGUGCUGGGGCACAGGGUGCAGGACAGGGUGCCGCAGCAUCCGCCGGUGAGCAUCCCCAUCCUCUUCGCUUGGUGGUGAAUGGGGCAGGCUGGUCGGAGGUACAGCUGCCCGGCUUCAGCUUAGUGUUUAUUUUCCAGGCUGAAAGGAAGCUUGUGAUCCCAAAGCCCUUCUGUGUUUAGCCAGACCUCUCAUUCACUUGCAGAGGAAACCCAUGUCAGCCGCUCCCCUUUGUCUCCCCUGAGCUAUUGCUUUGAAUCUGAAAGGAUUGGGUGCAGAUUUCAAGGGAUGUUCAGACAAAGGCUGUUUGAACAGCACUUGUGUAAAUAAUCCAUGAAAAACUCUUUGAAUAACCUCAAUGAAAUUUUCUCUGAAUUUGCUAUUCUUUUUCCACGGCAGCAGAAAGAAGUGGAAGUGAGGGAAGGGAGGAGAGGCGGAGGAAAGGAGGGAGAGCGGGAGGAAGGGGGUGGGAGAAGGACCCACACUUUUUUCUCUCUGCCAACUUCUCUGAAUGCCAAGAAGUAGCUUGGCUUAAAAAAAAUCUCUUUGUUAUUUUCACAGCUUUAGGAAUAAUCUCAUACGGGACCUCCGCGUCCUCAAACUUCUCCGUACAUUAAAUGUAAGGGGACACCCUUGUAUUUAACGCAGCAAGGGUAAUGUCGAGUCAGUUAAUUAUUAGCCGUAUGGUUUAAUGUUCACUUGCUGUACAUAUGUACGAAACAAUUCCCCUUUAGCAUGUCGUUUAGUUUGCAUUAAAAUGGAGAUAAUUGUUUUGAUGCCAAAUGGUCCCGUUCCCCCCUCUUCCCCCUCCCCAGUGCUCUUCAUACAGUUUAUACAAAUUACAUCCUUAAACAAGAGGGACAAAAACUGCUUUGAUUUGGUUUCUUUUGAAGAUAUCUACAUAGAAUCCUGCACGUUGGUGGCUGGGGACACCUCCACUGAGGUGUCGUGGGUUUUGGCCUGGGAUGUGUGGGGUCCCCCCUGGCGCACCCCAGGAUGGGGAUGGGGAUAGGGACAGGAAUGGGGAUGGGGAGGUUGCUCCUGCACGAGGAAGGGCUCUGGGUGCUUUGGGGGCUCGCAGUGUUUUCGGGAGCCGGUUCUUUGGAUGUCCAGGAGAUGGAGCAGUGUUUCUGUGGCCUCUGCUGCCGGUGCCCCUAACGAGCCAGUCUGUCUGAACUCGGAAUGAAUUUUGUUCCCUUUUCAUCACUCUCUGAUGUCCAGCUGCUCCUGUCAACACCUUCUUAUAGCAUGUAAUUCAUCGCUCAGACUGACAGCUGGGGCCGUGGGCCUGGGACCAGCUCCUCCUGCCAUCGGCUGCACCCAGAGAGGGUCCCUGCCCUGUGCGAGGGCUUCCCUCACCCCCCUCCUGCACCUGGGGCUCGUGAACUCUCCGAAGGAUUCCCGAGACAAAACCAGGAGCAGCCCGGCUUGCUGAGGAGCCUCUGGGGGAGGCUGGGGGAGAAUACCUCCCUCCCAGGCCCCCUGGGGCUGGAGGAGGCUAAUGAGAAGGCAGGGAGGUGGCUGAGGCCUUGCAGGCUGCUCCCCGCAGGGCGGCGGUGCUGCCUGAGCUGCAGCACCCCAUCCCUCUUUCCCUGGGUUUGGGCUCGUUCUGGCUGUGGGAUGAAACCAGAGCGACCUCCUGCCCAGAUUUCUGGGUUUACUACCCGAAAACAAGCACUGCCUGUUGCCCCAAGCCACCCCCAAAAUGCACCUAGCAGGGCUUGCUGAUGCCACAGUGCACAAAAGCACGCAACUGCCGUACAACACCUAAUUCCUCUGGAGCCAACCCCCUGCCCAAACCCCCUCUUCCCUUCUGUCUACCAGCCAGUUUCUAAUAAUUAUCCUUUAACUCAGCACUUCUGCCUUCAAUUCUCCUCCUGCACCUUCCUGUCUCCCUAUAAUUUAUUCUAUAUUUCACCCAUUUCUUGUCCUCAUUUAUAAUUCUUCUUUAUUUUAUUACUUUGCAUAAUUUCCUUUUAGGAUUUGUCAUAAAAUAAAUUCUGCCACCUCGGUCUUCUCAUUUCUGCUCUCAAGUGUCAGCACGCGCUCUCCUGCAGCGGCUCCUGACGCCUUCCCGGCCCCGAUGCUGCAGCUACCCCAACCCUGGGGGACCUGGAAGGGACCCCGGUUUCAGAAGGGCCUUUCCAAAUGAAUCAAAGCCCUGAAUGGUCUCUGGAAAGGUGAGAGUGUAGGUAACUUCAGGGUGAACCUCCAACCAGUUUUUUUUCUGUGGUGAAAUUCUGGCAUGUGUGGAAUCAACACUGCAAGAUUGCCCAAAUCUGAGUUAAAAACACCGAUGAGUGAAUGAAGAAGCGGAGGAGAAAAGCUGCUGGUGUACCUGAUGUGGUCCAUUUUGGCCAUAUCGAUGCAUUUCCCAUUCUCUUCACUCUCCAAUCUGCCCUGGGAGGUUGGAAAGCAGGUGGGGAAACUGAGGCAUGAAGCUCUAAUCCAGGUCCUUUGAGGCUCUUAGAUACCUGGCUCCCUUUAAAACCAACAGGAAUGAAACAUCUGACGUUUUUGAUGGUGUGAGUCCAAGUCAAGCGUUCAGAGUCACACAGGACACUUGCAGAAACGUGAUACAGAAAAAUGAAUGAGAAUUUCCUGUGAUUCAUCCCAGAACCUGAAAACCUGAAUCUUUACCUGAAAGGUGGCCUGGCAGGAGGGAGAUCCAAGCACUUGGAGGAGCUGCACCACACCUCAGUACACCCCAUCACCCAGGAAAAUAAAAACUAUCCAUGGGGAGCUGGAGUCCAAACAGUGUUGUCUGCUGUUACGUCUCCUGGAGCAGCAGGUGGACCUGGUGCUUUCAGGGUGCAGCCAUGGGAGCAUGAACAACUUCAAUGCAGAGUCAAGAAUUUAGGAAAAGUGUAAGAAUCCCGAUUCCUAUAGAGGUUCAAAGCAAUCAAAUCCCAGCCCCAGUAAUGUCCUCCCUUCCUGAAAGCCCCAUUUCCCCUGUGGAAACAAAAAGGUCCCACUCCUGCACACAACUGGAGCAGAGUUUUGGGCCACGCCCAGAGGAGGCUCUGCAGGGAACCAGGAGGCUGUGGUUCAUUUCAUUUUUAUGUAAGAGUCCUGAUUGGAGAAAAUGGAAAUGAAUGAAAGCAUCCUCUCUGUGCCCAAAAUUUGUCAUGGUUUCUCCAGCUGCAGGCAUCUUACCUAUUUUGAAAAUUUUCAGGUUAUGACAUAGUCUGGUAAGGUCUGCGAACCCUUUUGAGGGAUAUUUUUUGAAUGAAUCCAGGCCAAAAGAUGGCUUUGUGUGUGAAAACCACAUGGUCUCAUUUGCCAUUCCUUUGAUUUUAAGAUUCACUUGGAUUCAAAGUUCAAAGUGAGACCUGUGAAAACAAACCCUCAGACAGCUUGGGAUAGAAAGCAUCCUCCUGGUUCCUUGUGCUGGAAGAAAACCUCCAGCUUCAUCUUCCCAACGCGUUUUGUUUUGUUUUGUUUUGUGUGUGUGUGUUGUGUUUUUUUUUUCUAAUAUGGAGAAAUCCCUGUGUGGUUUGGGUUUGCGAGAAGGAUUUUCCCUUCAUGCGCUGCCACAACAACUGAGAUCAGCUGAGGCACUCAAGUGAACGGAUCCUGGAUGUAAUUGUCUGAGGGCCAGCGGCCAGGUUUUGUCAGAAGAGGGUCCGGUUGGCCGGCUUUCAGUCCCACCUCUGCCUUGACAGAGCCUGUCUCCUUUAAUCAUUAGAGUUCAGUGCACGGCUUUUGCCUGGCACGAGUUGGGAUUUCAUUUGUUUUGGAGGAAGAUUGCUUCUUUUGUUAGUUGAGGUCUUUUGGUUCCAGUUGUGUAAACUGGGACGAGGCGAUCCCAUUGGCUCCGAGCAGCUUACGGCCGGGGGAAGUCUGGCCCGCUAUUCACUUUUGGGGGUUGGUUUUUAAUCUUAGAAACACCAUUCUUGUGCCUAUGGAAGCAUUCUUGCGUCUGUAAUGAGGCACGUUUUAUGAAUUGAGAACAAAAUGAAUGCGUGUUUCUCCCAAACUCGGAGCAGUCAACACAAACUCAGCAGCACAAACUGAGUUCCCAAGUUUCUGGAUUUAUUCCGAUGAAAGUGAAUGUUGCGUUAUUACAGCCUUGCAAAACUCCAGUUAAUUUACGGUGGUGUAAAAUCCAUUUUUUUAAUGACUGUGACACUGCCAAAAUCUUUGCAGAUGCAGAAACAGCUUCGCAGGAGAAUUUCAAUCUAACAUCAACAGGAGAUUUGGAAGAUGAAUUGUGCAAGGGUCUCCUUCCUCCAAAGAUGCUGCUUUGUUUUGCUUUUUAGCAUUUGGUCUGGCUCUAAUAUUGUCUGUUUUAUGAUGUUUUAAUUAUUGUUGUUUAUUUAUUAUAAUCAUAUUUUAAUUGUUUGUGUAGUGCCUUGAGUGCCUUGGCAGGGGGGCACAUUAUAAAUUAAAUUAUUAUUAAAAAGUUGUUAUUAUGUGUACCUACUCCAAACUGAGCUAGAGCAGGGAAUGCAUUCAACUGCCUGGAAUUAAUUUACCCCUUUUAUUUUCCUUUGUCUUCUCUCUACUCAAGAGCAUAGUUCAAAGGGUUGGAGAGAGAAAAUGAGGUUUCUCUGCUGCCUCCUGGGGCUGGGUGAGAUGAGGGGAGCUCUGCUCUUGGCUCCCUUGGGUGCUGGGGAUGAAGUUAGGGAAACGAUGUGCUCUGUGGGCAAGGCAGGGAGGGCAGUUAUUUUCUAAAGCUUUUCUGCCUCUUCCCCCUCCUAGAGAGCAGGUUGCUGGAAAAGGCUGGUUGAUAUUUGCUGCAUUAUAGCAGGAUUCGCUAACUGUUAAGCUAAAAGGGGACUGUCAUGUGUGCUCGUGGUGUGCUUGCAGGGAAGGAAGGGGCUGCCAGCUCCGGUGGCCAGGUGAGGAUGGCAGGGAGGAUGAGGAUGGCUCCCGUCCAAGCCCUGCUUCUCGUGUCCUGACCUUUCUGGUUUGCUGCAGAUGUCACCGUGCCCACCAGCAGGGUCCCCAGCAGCCCAGAGAAAUCCCAGCUGGGGAGGCCGCAGCUCUCAGGAUGGCAGCCAAGGACUCAGCCAUCCUUUCCCAUUGCUGCUGCACCAGGUAGAGGCCACAGCUCCUCCACUUCUGCUCUGACCUCAGAGGGGUUUCCAUUGACCAGUGAUUUUCUCAAGGCUGGUGACAGGGAGGACACAGCAAAACACCCUCACCCCAGGACCAAAUAGGUCCCUUUUGGGAUGAAGCCAGUGGAGAGACAGAUUCCCUCCAGUUUAUUCUCAUUUACCACCCACAGGUUUUGCCCUGUCCCAAUGCAGCCUGGCUGUUGGUGUUGCAGCACAAGCAGGUAACCCUCCCCUGGGACAACCAGCUCUGGCAGGACUGGGACCCAGAUCAAAGGUCACCAGAUGUUCAGACUAACUGGUCCACCAAGGCUCCCCACCCAUGGAAGAGAAGGAUUUUUCCCUCCCUCAGACCUCCUCCCCACUUGCCCGGAGGCUCAGGUAUGGACUAUGGAUCAUUCUCCAGGAAUAAUCACCCUGCUGCUCCUCACAGACGUGCUGCAGGGAUGCUAGAGCUGGGGAGGCGCUCGGUGAUAUGAUGAUGGGAGCCACACAAACACGUUGAUGGCUGAGUGAUAAUGUGAAGGUCCCUGCUACGUUAGCUGUCAGUUUGCUAACGAAUAUUAAGAGACAGAUGUCAUAUGAGCAUCUCUACACUUUGGAGCUGGUGGCAAACUUCACACCUCCAGCUCUCCUAAUAAGACAGUAUUUCAUCCGGCAGUACCCCACUCAAAAUGCUUAUUAUAGCUAGGCUGAUAAGUACUCAGAUCUCAUUAUUUAUCUAUAUGCUUUAUUUUGAAUAGAUAAUUGAAAAAAAAAAAUACUUAAAAGGGCAGCAAUAUAGUCCUAACAUUUAGGAAUAAAACUGUGAUUUUGAUUUAUUCCAGUUCGUGGGCCCCUGAACAAAGUUUUCCAGCAGAGGCCCCAACUUCUUUGUGCUUGCUCUGGAGCAUAAAGAUCUUGCUUUAUUUCACGGCCUUCUACAGACCUCAGUUCACAACCCGCAGGAGUCUGGAGGCCACAGUUUGGAAACCACAGGGAUGGAGAGAAAUGGUUUUGGUGCCUGCUUUGGGCACUGCUGUUCAGCCUCUGAUCUCCUUCCUCCAGGAGGAGAGAGCUCCCUGGGGAGCCCCAGCCGGGGCUCAGCUGCUGCCCUUCUCCACAUGCACUCCCUCGUCUGCAUCCCCCUUGAUGGGGAGGGAGCUGCCAUCGCCCCCGUCCCUCCACAAAGCCCUCGUAAUCCUGCACCCGGGGGCCAUUUAGCCCUGUCUGCCUGGUUUGUGGCUCAGCAUUGAAGGGUCCUAAUUUGGUGUCAUGUACACAGUGGGCACAGGGGCAGGGCAGGUCUCCCAAGGGCUGUGGUCGCCUCCUGAUUUUAUGCCAGCAGAAAUGUUGAGCCUUUUCCCGUCCCUGCCCCUCCAGUCCCCAAUGUGGAGGCAAAAAAAAAGACUGGGAAAGGGUAUUUGAACCCAACACCAUCAGCUGUGUUGUUAUUGUGCAUCUGUUUUCUUCCUCUCGACAUCCAGGCUUAAGGUUUUAACAUUAUUUUGUUUGUUCAUGGUCAUUAUGUAAUUGAUGCUUAUGUGGCUUAAACACUUUGAGCUCGUCUGACUUUCUGGUUCUGUAAUAGGGCAAGUAACCCUGUACCUGGAUAAAAUUAGCUUUAGACUCUCUACACUAUGUGCUAUGUAUCUUCAUGUCUUUAAAGAGAACAUUUGGGUGCGUUUGGCUUUGAACACGAUGCAACUUCCUUUUCUUGCCCUCUGCACCCAACCUUGCUGUCGUACCCAGCCCCACUUACCUUGUCUCUGCCCUUCCCACUAAUCUGCCUCCAGGGGGACUUCUCCCAAGGCUGCAGACCCCCGUGGGCAUGGGAAAGGGGUCUUUUUGAAACCAUGUGCCCAGAGGUGGGCUCCCUCCACCCACCUGCACCAGCUCCCUCCCCUGCUCACAGCCCUGCACAUGCAGGUUUCGGUCCCACGUCCCUCUACCCAGCCCUGCCGCAUGGGAGAAGCCACCUCCCACAUGCCAUGAGGACUCAGACCUGGAGAUUUGCACCUCGAGUCCUUCCACGGAUUCUCCUGGAUUUAUAUGAGGGCAGGAUGUGGCCUGCAGAGUUUAACAAUGGUUGUUAACCUUGACUGUGAUCAAAUUAGACCAGAGCA
Molecule: long non-coding RNA, 22074 nt
Organism: Anas platyrhynchos (mallard)
Lineage: Eukaryota; Metazoa; Chordata; Aves; Anseriformes; Anatidae
Source: RefSeq, a predicted model, not a curated record